UACAGAGACCUCAAGCGUUAUCCGGAGUUAUUGGGCGUAAAGGGUCCGCAGGCGGCCUGACAAGUCAUGUGUCAAAUUUUUGGGCUCAACCCAGAAACUGCGCGUGAUACUGUCUGGCUAGAGGCUGGGAGAGGCACAUGGAAUUGCCGGUGUAGCGGUAAAAUGCGUUAAUAUCGGCAAGAACACCGAAGGCGAAGGCAGUGUGCUGGAACAGUCCUGACGCUCAGGGACGAAAGCGUGGGUAGCGAAUGGG
This 253-nucleotide ribosomal RNA is filed under the name uncultured prokaryote. Its description in RNAcentral is "partial 16S ribosomal RNA". It matches the Rfam family "Bacterial small subunit ribosomal RNA", at positions 524 to 776 of the family's 1533-position model. The record is from RNAcentral.